This 480-nucleotide ribosomal RNA is filed under the name uncultured bacterium. RNAcentral's name for it is "bacterial SSU rRNA". It matches the Rfam family "Bacterial small subunit ribosomal RNA", at positions 29 to 506 of the family's 1533-position model. The record is from RNAcentral.
UUGAACGCUGGCGGAAUGCUUUACACAUGCAAGUCGAGCGGCAGCGCGGGGCAACCUGGCGGCGAGCGGCGAACGGGUGAGUAAUAUAUCGGAACGUACCCUGUCGUGGGGGAUAACACAUCGAAAGAUGUGCUAAUACCGCAUACGACCUGAGGGUGAAAGCGGGGGAUCGCAAGACCUCGCGCGAUAGGAGCGGCCGAUAUCGGAUUAGCUAGUUGGUGAGGUAAAGGCCUACCAAGGCGACGAUCCGUAGCUGGUCUGAGAGGACGACCAGCCACACUGGGACUGAGACACGGCCCAGACUCCUACGGGAGGCAGCAGUGGGGAAUUUUGGACAAUGGGCGCAAGCCUGAUCCAGCCAUGCCGCGUGAGUGAAGAAGGCCUUCGGGUUGUAAAGCUCUUUCAGACGGAAAGAAAUCGGGCGCGUGAAUAGCGUGCCUGGAUGACGGUACUGUCAGAAGAAGCACCGGCUAACUACGU